CGCCUUUUUCAAAACAUCCAAACCAAGUUCUUCCAAUUCCUUUACUGAUCCAUAGUCGUCCAAAUUUAAAGGAAACGUUACCUUGACAAAACAAAUGACGUGCUGUAAAUGGCUUUGGUCAUUGAAGGACUAGAUGUCGAGGAAUCACUGACUUCAUCAUCACUGCUCAAUUCUUCAUCAAUAUCUAGCCUAUGAAACAACGACCGAUCGACCAUUAAUGUUUUUCAGAGUUUUUCGUUAUGAAGUGAAAUUUUAAGCAAUAAAAAAGACAUUUGUAUUAUACAUAAGAAUAACGGUAAGACAACAGGGAAAGUGUUGAAUUUGUGUAACUGGUAGAAAUUGUUUGUAUAUGUUGAAGGUUUGUUUUGCUAAACGGGAAAACGUUCAAUUCAAAUUCAAA
Molecule: long non-coding RNA, 400 nt
Organism: Xenia sp. Carnegie-2017
Lineage: Eukaryota; Metazoa; Cnidaria; Anthozoa; Malacalcyonacea; Xeniidae
Exons: 2
Source: RefSeq, a predicted model, not a curated record